GAUGAACGCUGGCGGCGUGCCUAAUACAUGCAAGUCGAGCGAACAGAUGAGGAGCUUGCUCCUCUGACGUUAGCGGCGGACGGGUGAGUAACACGUGGAUAACCUACCUAUAAGACUGGGAUAACUUCGGGAAACCGGAGCUAAUACCGGAUAAUAUAUUGAACCGCAUGGUUCAAUAGUGAAAGACGGUUUUGCUGUCACUUGUAGAUGGAUCCGCGCCGCAUUAGCUAGUUGGUAAGGUAAAGGCUUACCAAGGCAACGAUGCGUAGCCGACCUGAGAGGGUGAUCGGCCACACUGGAACUGAGACACGGUCCAGACUCCUACGGGAGGCAGCAGUAGGGAAUCUUCCGCAAUGGGCGAAAGACUGACGGAGCAACGCCGCGUGAGUGAUGAAGGUCUUCGGAUCGUAAAACUCUGUUAUUAGGGAAGAACAAAUGUGUAAGUAACUAUGCACGUCUUGACGGUACCUAAUCAGAAAGCCACGGCUAACUACGUG
RNAcentral lists this ribosomal RNA (497 nucleotides) under uncultured bacterium. Its description in RNAcentral is "partial 16S ribosomal RNA". It matches the Rfam family "Bacterial small subunit ribosomal RNA", at positions 28 to 507 of the family's 1533-position model. The record is from RNAcentral.